UCUCUAAGCAAUGGAUGUCUUGGCUCCUCACACGAUGAAGAACGUGGCAUAAUGUGUUAAGUAACCGGAGUUGCAAACAUCAUGACAGGUUAAUCUUUGAAUGCAAAUUGCGCUAAACUCGAUCUCGGUCGAGAAGCAUGGGUGUGACAGUACUACA
This 157-nucleotide ribosomal RNA is filed under the name Trichomonas vaginalis. Its description in RNAcentral is "putative 5.8S ribosomal RNA". It matches the Rfam family "5.8S ribosomal RNA". Rfam says of the family: 5.8S ribosomal RNA (5.8S rRNA) is a component of the large subunit of the eukaryotic ribosome. It is transcribed by RNA polymerase I as part of the 45S precursor that also contains 18S and 28S rRNA. The record is from RNAcentral. Lineage: Eukaryota; Parabasalia; Trichomonadida; Trichomonadidae.